GUUGAUAAGGUUAAGUGAAUAAGGGCGCACGGUGGAUGCCUUGGCACUAGGAGCCGAUGAAGGACGGGACUAACACCGAUAUGCUUUGAGGAGCUGUACGUAAGCUAUG
RNAcentral lists this ribosomal RNA (109 nucleotides) under Enterococcus faecium. Its description in RNAcentral is "partial 23S ribosomal RNA". It matches the Rfam family "Bacterial large subunit ribosomal RNA", at positions 1 to 101 of the family's 2925-position model. The record is from RNAcentral. Lineage: Bacteria; Bacillati; Bacillota; Bacilli; Lactobacillales; Enterococcaceae.